RNAcentral lists this transfer RNA (87 nucleotides) under Gammaproteobacteria bacterium AqS3. Its description in RNAcentral is "tRNA-Leu". It matches the Rfam family "tRNA". From Rfam's summary of the family: Transfer RNA (tRNA) molecules are approximately 80 nucleotides in length. The record is from RNAcentral. Lineage: Bacteria; Pseudomonadati; Pseudomonadota; Gammaproteobacteria.
GCCGAGGUGGUGAAAUUGGUAGACACAGGAGACUCAAAAUCUCCCGCCCGUAAGGGUGUGCGGGUUCGAGUCCCGCCCUCGGUACCA